UGGGGAAUUUUGGACAAUGGGGGCAACCCUGAUCCAGCCAUGCCGCGUGAGUGAAGAAGGCCUUCGGGUUGUAAAGCUCUUUCGGACGGAACGAAAUGGUUACGGCCAAUACCCGUGACUGAUGACGGUACCGUAAGAAGAAGCACCGGCUAACUACGUGCCAGCAGCCGCGGUAAUACGUAGGGUGCGAGCGUUAAUCGGAAUUACUGGGCGUAAAGCGUGCGCAGGCGGUUUCGUAAGCUGGAGGUGAAAUCCCCGGGCUCAACCUGGGAAUGGCCUUCAGGACUGCGAGGCUAGAGUGCGGCAGAGGGAGGUGGAAUUCCACGUGUAGCAGUGAAAUGCGUAGAUAUGUGGAGGAACACCGAUGGCGAAGGCAGCCUCCUGGGCCAGCACUGACGCUCAUGCACGAAAGCGUGGGGAGCAAACAGG
This 429-nucleotide ribosomal RNA is filed under the name uncultured beta proteobacterium. RNAcentral's name for it is "bacterial SSU rRNA". It matches the Rfam family "Bacterial small subunit ribosomal RNA", at positions 355 to 776 of the family's 1533-position model. Lineage: Bacteria; Pseudomonadati; Pseudomonadota; Betaproteobacteria. The record is from RNAcentral.